This 665-nucleotide ribosomal RNA is filed under the name uncultured bacterium. Its description in RNAcentral is "bacterial SSU rRNA". It matches the Rfam family "Bacterial small subunit ribosomal RNA", at positions 10 to 669 of the family's 1533-position model. The record is from RNAcentral.
AGUUUGAUCCUGGCUCAGAUUGAACGCUGGCGGCAUGCUUUACACAUGCAAGUCGAACGGCAGCGCGGGAGCAAUCCUGGCGGCGAGUGGCGAACGGGUGAGUAAUGUAUCGGAACGUAUCCAGUAAUGGGGGAUAACCAGUCGAAAGAUUGGGUAAUACCGCAUACGCACGAGAGUGGAAAGUAGGGGAUCGCAAGACCUUACGUUAUUGGAGCGGCCGAUAUCUGAUUAGCUAGUUGGUGGGGUAAAGGCCUACCAAGGCGACGAUCAGUAGCAGGUCUGAGAGGAUGAUCUGCCACACUGGGACUGAGACACGGCCCAGACUCCUACGGGAGGCAGCAGUGGGGAAUUUUGGACAAUGGGCGAAAGCCUGAUCCAGCCAUGCCGCGUGCAGGAAGAAGGCCUUCGGGUUGUAAACUGCUUUAGUCUAGGAAAAAGGGAUGCAUGGUUAAUACCUAUGUGUUUUGAUGGUACUGGAAGAAUAAGCACCGGCUAACUACGUGCCAGCAGCCGCGGUAAUACGUAGGGUGCGAGCGUUAAUCGGAAUUACUGGGCGUAAAGCGUGCGCAGGCGGUCCGUUAAGACAGUCGUGAAAGCCCCGGGCUUAACCUGGGAACUGCGAUUGUGACUGGCGGGCUAGAGUGUGUCAGAGGGGGGUGGAAUUC